ACGAGCUUCCGUUGAAUGACGUGCUUGCACUGAUUUCAACAAUGAAGCGAGUGGCGAACUGGUGAGUAACACGUGGGAAAUCUGCCCAGAAGCAGGGGAUAACACUUGGAAACAGGUGCUAAUACCGUAUAACAACAAAAUCCGCAUGGAUUUUGUUUGAAAGGUGGCUUCGGCUAUCACUUCUGGAUGAUCCCGCGGCGUAUUAGUUAGUUGGUGAGGUAAAGGCCCACCAAGACGAUGAUACGUAGCCGACCUGAGAGGGUAAUCGGCCACAUUGGGACUGAGACACGGCCCAAACUCCUACGGGAGGCAGCAGUAGGGAAUCUUCCACAAUGGACGAAAGUCUGAUGGAGCAAUGCCGCGUGAGUGAAGAAGGGUUUCGGCUCGUAAAACUCUGUUGUUAAAGAAGAACACCUUUGAGAGUAACUGUUCAAGGGUUGACGGUAUUUAACCAGAAAGCCACGGCUAACUACGUGCCAGCAGCCGCGGUAAUACGUAGGUGGCAAGCGUUGUCCGGAUUUAUUGGGCGUAAAGCGAGCGCAGGCGGUUUUUUAAGUCUGAUGUGAAAGCCUUCGGCUUAACCGGAGAAGUGCAUCGGAAACUGGGAGACUUGAGUGCAGAAGAGGACAGUGGAACUCCAUGUGUAGCG
RNAcentral lists this ribosomal RNA (649 nucleotides) under Levilactobacillus brevis. Its description in RNAcentral is "bacterial SSU rRNA". It matches the Rfam family "Bacterial small subunit ribosomal RNA", at positions 42 to 680 of the family's 1533-position model. Lineage: Bacteria; Bacillati; Bacillota; Bacilli; Lactobacillales; Lactobacillaceae. The record is from RNAcentral.